AGGACGAACGCUGGCGGCGUGCUUAACACAUGCAAGUCGAGCGGAAAGGCCUUUCGGGGUACUCGAGCGGCGAACGGGUGAGUAACACGUGAGUAAUCUGCCCAUCGCUUCAGGAUAGCCAUCGGAAACGGUGAUUAAUACUGGAUAUGACAUUCCUUCGCAUGUUGGGGUGUGGAAAGUUUUUUCGGCGGUGGAUGUGCUCGCGGCCUAUCAGCUUGUUGGUGGGGUAAUGGCCUACCAAGGCUUUGACGGGUAGCCGGCCUGAGAGGGUGACCGGCCACACUGGGACUGAGACACGGCCCAGACUCCUACGGGAGCAGCAGUGGGGAAUAUUGGACAAUGGGCGGAAGCCUGAUCCGAGCAACGCUGCGUGAGGGAUGACGGCCUUCGGGUUGUAAACCUCUUUCAGCAACAGACGAAGUUUUGUCUUUUUUGGGUGUAAGGUUGACGGUAUGUGCAGAAGAAGGACGGCCAACUACGUGCAGCAGCCGACG
RNAcentral lists this ribosomal RNA (494 nucleotides) under uncultured soil bacterium. Its description in RNAcentral is "bacterial SSU rRNA". It matches the Rfam family "Bacterial small subunit ribosomal RNA", at positions 26 to 520 of the family's 1533-position model. The record is from RNAcentral.